This 440-nucleotide ribosomal RNA is filed under the name uncultured bacterium. RNAcentral's name for it is "partial 16S ribosomal RNA". It matches the Rfam family "Bacterial small subunit ribosomal RNA", at positions 338 to 795 of the family's 1533-position model. The record is from RNAcentral.
CCUACGGGAGGCAACAGUGGGGAAUAUUGCACAAUGGGGGAAACCCUGAUGCAGAGACGCCGCGUGAGUGAAGAAGUAUUUCGGUAUGUAAAGCUCUAUCAGCAGGGAAGAAAAUGACGGUACCUGAUGAAGAAGCCCCGGCUAACUACGUGCAAGCAGCCGCGGUAAUACGUAGGGGGCAAGCGUUAUCCGGAUUUACUGGGUGUAAAGGGAGCGUAGACGGCAGCACAAGUCUGGAGUGAAAUGCCGGGGCUUAACCCCGGAACUGCUUUUGAAACUGUGCAGUUAGAGUGCAGGAGAGGUAAGUGGAAUUCCUAGUGUAGCGGUGAAAUGCGUAGAUAUUAGGAGGAACACCAGUGGCGAAGGCGGCUUACUGGACUGUAACUGACGUUGAGGCUCGAAAGCGUGGGGAGCAAACAGGAUUAGAUACCCCAGUAGUC